AUACGGAGGGUGCAAGCGUUAUCCGGAUUUAUUGGGUUUAAAGGGUCCGUAGGCGGAUCUGUAAGUCAGUGGUGAAAUCUCAUAGCUUAACUAUGAAACUGCCAUUGAUACUGCAGGUCUUGAGUAAGGUAGAAGUAGCUGGAAUAAGUAGUGUAGCGGUGAAAUGCAUAGAUAUUACUUAGAACACCAAUUGCGAAGGCAGGUUACUAUGUCUUAACUGACGCUGAUGGACGAAAGCGUGGGGAGCGAACAGGAUUAGAUACCCUAGUAGUCC
This 274-nucleotide ribosomal RNA is filed under the name uncultured bacterium. RNAcentral's name for it is "partial 16S ribosomal RNA". It matches the Rfam family "Bacterial small subunit ribosomal RNA", at positions 523 to 796 of the family's 1533-position model. The record is from RNAcentral.